GAUGAACGCUGGCGGCGUGCCUAAUACAUGCAAGUCGAGCGAACAGAUGAGGAGCUUGCUCCUCUGACGUUAGCGGCGGACGGGUGAGUAACACGUGGAUAACCUACCUAUAAGACUGGGAUAACUUCGGGAAACCGGAGCUAAUACCGGAUAAUAUAUUGAACCGCAUGGUUCAAUAGUGAAAGACGGUUUUGCUGUCACUUAUAGAUGGAUCCGCGCCGCAUUAGCUAGUUGGUAAGGUAACGGCUUACCAAGGCAACGAUGCGUAGCCGACCUGAGAGGGUGAUCGGCCACACGGGAACUGAGACACGGUCCAGACUACUACGGGAGGCAGCAGUAGGGAAUCUUCCGCAAUGGGCGAAAGCCUGACGGAGCAACGCCGCGUGAGUGAUGAAGGUCUUCGGAUCGUAAAACUCUGUUAUUAGGGAAGAACAAAUGUGUAAGUAACUAUGCACGUCUUGACGGUACCUAAUCAGAAAGCCACGGCUAACUACGUG
RNAcentral lists this ribosomal RNA (497 nucleotides) under uncultured bacterium. RNAcentral's name for it is "partial 16S ribosomal RNA". It matches the Rfam family "Bacterial small subunit ribosomal RNA", at positions 28 to 507 of the family's 1533-position model. The record is from RNAcentral.